ACGCACGCUGGCGGCGUGCUUCACACAUGCCAGUCGAACGGAAAGGCCCUGCUUUUGUGGGGUGCUCGAGUGGCGAACGGGUGAGUAACACGUGAGUAACCUGCCCUUGACUUUGGGAUAACUUCAGGAAACUGGGGCUAAUACCGGAUAGGAGCUCCUGCUGCAUGGUGGGGGUUGGAAAGUUUCGGCGGUUGGGGAUGGACUCGCGGCUUAUCAGCUUGUUGGUGGGGUAGUGGCUUACCAAGGCUUUGACGGGUAGCCGGCCUGAGAGGGUGACCGGCCACAUUGGGACUGAGAUACGGCCCAGACUCCUACGGGAGGCAGCAGUGGGGAAUAUUGCACAAUGGGCGGAAGCCUGAUGCAGCAACGCCGCGUGCGGGAUGACGGCCUUCGGGUUGUAAACCGCUUUCGCCUGUGACGAAGCGUGAGUGACAGUAAUGGGUAAAGAAGCACCGGCUAACUACGUG
Molecule: ribosomal RNA, 467 nt
Filed under: uncultured bacterium
Lineage: Bacteria
Description: partial 16S ribosomal RNA
Rfam family: Bacterial small subunit ribosomal RNA
Source: RNAcentral